UCUUAUGGCACACGUGUCACACAUUCACCAUUCUCUCUCUCUCACGACCAAAUCAUCUUCUCUCCUCUCGCGACUCCGACUCCGACUCCGACUCCGACUCCAUCCGGUGAUCACUCCUCGACGGAAUCAAUCCGACUCCAUCCGGUGAUUGGUCUCGUUUAGAGCUUCGGGUUUCUCUAAGAACUUGAUUCUCAGAUCCUCGGCGUCGCGGUUUCACGGCGAGUCCCUCGAUUCCUCCGUCUCACCUGUUCUCAUUCCCGGCGUCCAUGUCUUCCGUUGCCAGGUUCCCAUAUCAAAAAAGUCUCGUCCUUUUUGCUCUCUUUGAUUUCCAAAUUCGAAAUCUCAAAACAGAAUCCCAUUGUUUUACAGGACGCAGUUGGAAUCGUAGCUUAGCUAUCAGAUUGUAUAUAUUCCUCCUUUUGAUGAAGACAAGUCUUGAGAGUGGAACUUGAUAUAAAAGUCAAAAGCUUUUGAUAGUGAAUCACAGAUUGCAAUAGAUUUGGUGAUGAAAAGAUGGUUUCUUUGACAGUGAGUUUAUAUUUGAUCCGGUGAAAUGGCUGAGACACCAAGUGGGUGAAGAUUUUCAAGCUAUUGCGCAAACAGACGGUGCCAUGAACUCGGUUGUGCGUGUGCCUUUAACUUUGAUCAAAUUUUAAUUUUUAAAAACUUUUUAAAUUUGUGAAAUGUUACAAUAUCUUUGAAUACGACAAUACAACAAUAUUUUACUAAUCUUUAUAUAUAUAGUUACGAUUUUAAUAAUGAAAUAAUAAUCUGAAAAUAUAUAUUUAGAAUAAGAUACAAAUACAUGUGAAAGUUUGAAACAAUCUAUUUAAUGAAAAAAUAUACCGUAAACUUAUUAUGUUUUAAAAAUUGAUAGACACAUAUAUAUUAUAAUAUAUAUCAAUUUAGAAUUGAAAAGAAAAUAUUUAUAUAAAAAUAAAUAAAAACAAAAAGUUACCUAAUUAAAUUAGCUAAGAAACGGGUCUUAUGGCACACGUGUCACACAUUCACCAUUCUCUCUCUCUCACGACCAAAUCAUCUUCUCUCCUCUCGCGACUCCGACUCCGACUCCGACUCCGACUCCAUCCGGUGAUCACUCCUCGACGGAAUCAAUCCGACUCCAUCCGGUGAUUGGUCUCGUUUAGAGCUUCGGGUUUCUCUAAGAACUUGAUUCUCAGAUCCUCGGCGUCGCGGUUUCACGGCGAGUCCCUCGAUUCCUCCGUCUCACCUGUUCUCAUUCCCGGCGUCCAUGUCUUCCGUUGCCAGGUUCCCAUAUCAAAAAAG
This 1284-nucleotide long non-coding RNA is filed under the name Brassica napus (rape). RNAcentral's name for it is "long non-coding RNA (BNAP_LNC020264)". The record is from RNAcentral. Lineage: Eukaryota; Viridiplantae; Streptophyta; Magnoliopsida; Brassicales; Brassicaceae.